UGGGGAAUAUUGGACAAUGGGGGGAACCCUGAUCCAGCCAUGCCGCGUGUGUGAAGAAGGCCUUAUGGUUGUAAAGCACUUUAAGCGAGGAGGAGGGUACUGGUAUUAAUACUACCAGCUACUGGACGUUACUCGCAGAAUAAGCACCGGCUAACUCUGUGCCAGCAGCCGCGGUAAUACAGAGGGUGCGAGCGUUAAUCGGAUUUACUGGGCGUAAAGCGUGCGUAGGCGGCUAAUUGAGUCGGAUGUGAAAUCCCUGAGCUUAACUUAGGAAGUGCAUUCGAUACUGGUCAGCUAGAGUAUGGGAGAGGAUGGUAGAAUUCCAGGUGUAGCGGUGAAAUGCGUAGAGAUCUGGAGGAAUACCGAUGGCGAAGGCAGCCAUCUGGCCUAAUACUGACGCUGAGGUACGAAAGCAUGGGGAGCAAACAGG
RNAcentral lists this ribosomal RNA (430 nucleotides) under Pseudomonadota bacterium. Its description in RNAcentral is "Proteobacteria bacterium partial 16S ribosomal RNA". It matches the Rfam family "Bacterial small subunit ribosomal RNA", at positions 355 to 776 of the family's 1533-position model. The record is from RNAcentral. Lineage: Bacteria; Pseudomonadati; Pseudomonadota.